GCAUAUCUUCAGGGCAGGGUGUGAUUCCCGAUCGGCGGUAUAGUCCGCGAGCUGUAGCAAUAUGGCUGACUUGGUGAAACUCCAAGACCGACAGUAAAGUCUGGAUGGAAGAAGGUAUAG
RNAcentral lists this non-coding RNA (120 nucleotides) under Clostridium homopropionicum. RNAcentral's name for it is "FMN sequence". It matches the Rfam family "FMN riboswitch aptamer (RFN element)". Rfam says of the family: The RFN element is a highly conserved domain that is found frequently in the 5'-untranslated regions of prokaryotic mRNAs that encode for flavin mononucleotide (FMN) biosynthesis and transport proteins. This element is a metabolite-dependent riboswitch that directly binds FMN in the absence of proteins. RNAcentral also lists the same sequence under 1 other name. Lineage: Bacteria; Bacillati; Bacillota; Clostridia; Eubacteriales; Clostridiaceae. The record is from RNAcentral.